AUUGAACGCUGGCGGAAUGCUUUACACAUGCAAGUCGAACGGCAGCACGGACUUCGGUCUGGUGGCGAGUGGCGAACGGGUGAGUAAUGUAUCGGAACGUGCCCAGUCGUGGGGGAUAACGUAGUGAAAAUUACGCUAAUACCGCAUACGAUCUAUGGAUGAAAGCGGGGGAUCGCAAGACCUCGCGCGAUUGGAGCGGCCGAUAUCAGAUUAGGUAGUUGGUGGGGUAAAGGCCCACCAAGCCAACGAUCUGUAGCUGGUCUGAGAGGACGACCAGCCAAAGUGGAACUGAGACACGGUCCAGACUCCUACGGGAGGCAGCAGUGGGGAAUUUUGGACAAUGGGCGAAAGCCUGAUUCAGCCAUUCCGCGUGCAGGAUGAAGGCCCUCGGGUUGUAAACUGCUUUUGUACAGAAGGAAAAGGUUUCUACUAAUACUAGGAGCUCAUGACGGUACUGUAAGAAGAAGCACCGGCUAACUACGUGCCAGCCGCCGCCGUAA
RNAcentral lists this ribosomal RNA (500 nucleotides) under uncultured bacterium. RNAcentral's name for it is "partial 16S ribosomal RNA". It matches the Rfam family "Bacterial small subunit ribosomal RNA", at positions 30 to 523 of the family's 1533-position model. The record is from RNAcentral.